This 371-nucleotide ribosomal RNA is filed under the name uncultured bacterium. RNAcentral's name for it is "bacterial SSU rRNA". It matches the Rfam family "Bacterial small subunit ribosomal RNA", at positions 212 to 595 of the family's 1533-position model. The record is from RNAcentral.
UUUGCGGUGUGGGAUGGGCCCGCGGCCUAUCAGCUUGUUGGUGGGGUGAUGGCCUACCAAGGCGACGACGGGUAGCCGGCCUGAGAGGGUGUCCGGCCACACUGGGACUGAGAUACGGCCCAGACUCCUACGGGAGGCAGCAGUGGGGAAUAUUGCACAAUGGGCGCAAGCCUGAUGCAGCGACGCCGCGUGAGGGAUGACGGCCUUCGGGUUGUAAACCUCUUUCGCCAGGGACGAAGCGCAAGUGACGGUACCUGGAGAAGAAGCACCGGCCAACUACGUGCCAGCAGCCGCGGUAAUACGUAGGGUGCGAGCGUUGUCCGGAAUUACUGGGCGUAAAGAGCUCGUAGGUGGUUUGUCGCGUUGUUCGA